UUGGGCACUCUAAAGGGACUGCCGGUGGUCAAACCGGAGGAAGGCGGGGAUGACGUCAAAUCAUCAUGCCCCUUAUGUUCUGGGCUACACACGUGCUACAAUGGCCGGUACAGACGGACGCAAAGCCGCGAGGUGGAGCAAAUCCUAAAAAGCCGGUCUCAGUUCGGAUUGCAGGCUGCAAUUCGCCUGCAUGAAGUCGGAAUCGCUAGUAAUCGCAGGUCAGCAUACUGCGGUGAAUACGUUCCCGGGCCUU
RNAcentral lists this ribosomal RNA (253 nucleotides) under uncultured Bacillus sp. RNAcentral describes it as "partial 16S ribosomal RNA". It matches the Rfam family "Bacterial small subunit ribosomal RNA", at positions 1131 to 1382 of the family's 1533-position model. The record is from RNAcentral. Lineage: Bacteria; Bacillati; Bacillota; Bacilli; Caryophanales; Bacillaceae.